Molecule: ribosomal RNA, 468 nt
Filed under: uncultured bacterium
Lineage: Bacteria
Description: partial 16S ribosomal RNA
Rfam family: Bacterial small subunit ribosomal RNA
Source: RNAcentral
GACGAACGCUGGCGGCGUGCUUAACACAUGCAAGUCGAACGGAAAGGCCCUGCUUUUGUGGGUUGCUCGAGUGGCGAACGUGUGAGUAACACGUGAGUCACCUGCCCUUGACUUUGGUAUAACUUCAGGAAACUGGGGCUAAUACCGGAUAUGAGCUCCUGCUGCAUGGUGGGGGUUGGAAAGUUUCGGCGGUUGGGGAUGGACUCGCGGCUUUUCAGCUUGUUGGUGGGGUAGUGGCUUACCAAGGCUUUGACGGGUAGCCGGCCUGAGAGGGUGACCGGCCACAUUGGGACUGAGAUACGGCCCAGACUCCUACGGGAGGCAGCAGUGGGGAAUAUUGCACAAUGGGCGGAAGCCUGAUGCAGCAACGCCGCGUGCGGGAUGAAGGCCUUCGGGUUGUAAACCGCUUUCGGCUGUGACGAAGCGUGAGUGACGGUAAUGGGUAAAGAAGCACCGGCUAACUACGUG